This 518-nucleotide ribosomal RNA is filed under the name uncultured bacterium. RNAcentral's name for it is "bacterial SSU rRNA". It matches the Rfam family "Bacterial small subunit ribosomal RNA", at positions 28 to 526 of the family's 1533-position model. The record is from RNAcentral.
GAUGAACGCUGGCGGCGUGCCUAACACAUGCAAGUCGAACGAAGCUGUUUAACGGAAGCCUUCGGGUGGAAGUUAAAUAGACUGAGUGGCGGACGGGUGAGUAACGCGUGGGUAACCUGCCCUACACAGGGGGACAACAGCUGGAAACGGCUGCUAAUACCGCAUAAGCGCACAGUACCGCAUGGUACAGUGUGAAAAACUCCGGUGGUGUAGGAUGGACCCGCGUCCGAUUAGCUAGUUGGUGAGGUAAGAGCCCACCAAGGCGACGGUCGGUAGCCGGCCUGAGAGGGCGGACGGCCACAUUGGGACUGAGACGCGGACCAGACUCCUACGGGAGGCAGCAGUGAGGAAUAUUGGUCAAUGGACGAGAGUCUGAACCAGCCAAGUCGCGUGAAGGAUGACUGCCCUAUGGGUUGUAAACUUCUUUUAUAGGGGAAUAAAAAGUGGGACGUGUCCUAUAUUGUAUGUACCCUAUGAAUAAGCAUCGGCUAACUCCGUGCCAGCAGCCGCAGUAAGAC